UUUUGGAAGUGAUGAUUACAUUGACUUCCCAGGAGAAGCUCAAUCAAAUCUGUGGUUAUAUGGUUUUCUUCCAAAGUGGACGAUAUGGCAGUGCUGAUGUUCUCAUAUACUGAUUUUACCCCAUAGUCAGCCCUGGAUGGAGACACCGUGGCACUAACUAGAGCAUCUGAACACUUGAUGUGAUCUGCAAACCAGCAAACAAGAGAGAAUAUAAUUUUAUAUGUGUCUUCCUCUGGCUUGAAUUUUCUCCUGGGCCCCAGAUCUGCAAGCACAUAUGUACUCAAGUGCACCGAAAUGAAUUGGCCACCCUGACUUCCAGCCACAGUGGAGAGAGACUUCAGAGCAUAUUGGUAUCCUAUUCUAAGUCCUUUACAUUCUGCAGGAGCACAUACCAAACCCUGCUGCCUUCCAUCAACACCCACGUAUAGAAUCCCAGUGGACACAAACACUGCGAUAUCCCAGACAAGCAGAGUGCUCAUCUGCUCCAUGUACCCAGCCCUUGUAUUCUUAACAGAAAACCUGUGGGGCAACCUAAUUUGGCACCUGUAGAAAACCAUGUCCAGCUCAAAUUUGGCUUCAGUAGGAGUAACAAGUCCAGAACUGCUGUAGUGAACACCUGAGUUCCAGCAGAGACUGAUUCUGAUCACUGAUGCUUUGCUUAAUAUUGGCUUUGUGAGUUGUUCAGUUUCUUCAUGGCAAUAUGUACUGCAAAUCCCAAUUUCCUCUGAAA
Molecule: long non-coding RNA, 730 nt
Organism: Pezoporus occidentalis (night parrot)
Lineage: Eukaryota; Metazoa; Chordata; Aves; Psittaciformes; Psittacidae
Exons: 3
Source: RefSeq, a predicted model, not a curated record